Molecule: long non-coding RNA, 412 nt
Organism: Balaenoptera ricei (Rice's whale)
Lineage: Eukaryota; Metazoa; Chordata; Mammalia; Artiodactyla; Balaenopteridae
Exons: 3
Source: RefSeq, a predicted model, not a curated record
CUCACUCAGACUGGCCUCCCGUAGUGCCUUGAAGAGAGCUAGAUUUAGAAGAAAUAUUACUUCAGCUCUCAGGAUGGAAAAAGAUCUAGCCAGGAGGCAGAGACUCUGGAAAAGUGCUAAUAAAUUGUUACUGCCUGCUAUUAAAAGGAUCGAUAAGAUGGUGAAACUGAGAAGUUAAAGGACUUGUCCAAAGUCACAUAGUUGGCAAAGCCCGCAAACAUUUCUGGCUGAAUCUCUGCACUUCCCGGGUUCUGCAGCUAUGUCCUACGAAAAGGAAACGGUUUCUCCGAAAACCCAAUAACCUGCCUCCCGCUAUCCUGCCUGUAGAGUAUCAGGCAAGCACCUAUUUAGGCAGGAAGGGAGACAGCAAGCAGAAGUGAAGACGUUCCUCUUUAAGUGUAUGAGGUCAGGU